Molecule: ribosomal RNA, 400 nt
Filed under: uncultured bacterium
Lineage: Bacteria
Description: bacterial SSU rRNA
Rfam family: Bacterial small subunit ribosomal RNA
Source: RNAcentral
GAUAAACGCUGGCGGCGUGCCUAACACAUGCAAGUCGAACGUCCUCUCUCGCAAGAGAGAGGGAGUGGCGGACGGGUGAGUAACACAUGGGUCACCUACCCUUAAGUGAGGAAUACCGGCGAGAAAUCGCCGACAAGACCGCAUAGGCUCUCUCUUUUGCAAGAGAGAGCAAAGCUUCGCAAGAGGCGCUUGAGGAUGGGCCUGUGGCCGAUUAGCUGGUUGGAGGGUAAUGGCUUACCAAGGCGACGAUCGGUAGCUGGUCUGAGAGGACGAUCAGCCACACUGGGAUUGAGAACGGCCCAGACUCCUACGGGGGCAGCAGUGAGGAAUUUCCGUCAAUGGGGGCGAACCCUGACGGAGCAACGCCGCGUGCAGGAAGACGCUUUUCGGAGUGUAAACU